UUUUCAUCCGGCAUAACUAAA
Molecule: non-coding RNA, 21 nt
Filed under: Caenorhabditis elegans
Lineage: Eukaryota; Metazoa; Nematoda; Chromadorea; Rhabditida; Rhabditidae
Source: RNAcentral